GACCAGUAAACGAGUACAUUAAUUAUUGAAGGCAUUACAAUCAGACUAGAAUAGUCUGUUUACAGAACAAGACAUCUUAUAAAAUUGAUGGAACAUUUCAUUCGAUUCAAUCCAUACAAUAUAUUGUUCUACGGUACAUUAAGUACCUUUACAGAUAACUAAUAAUACCACCAGAAACUAGUAUAUAGUCACAGUAGUACACACACCAAAGCACAAUUUAUUCUCCAAAUUAUGAAGUACUAACAUACAGAUCUUGAGCAGUUCAAUUGCACAUGAAGCGGGCUCCUCACGCUGCAUUGUCAUUGUUCUUCUUCAUGAGGCGAGCCCAAGCUAUAGCCACCCGCACAUAAACCUUGUCAUACAGCUUGUCAAUGUUCUGAAAGUAGGCAAUCGCCCAGGUUCUCCUCGGUAACAUGGCGCAAAACACCACCCAAAGGCCGACCACAAAUCCUAUGCCCAUCCCAAGGUAGAGAUAGGAGAUAUGAUCUGCAUCUUCAUGGUCUGCACUUUGCUUUGCAUCAGUUGUACUAGUAGAGCAGUUCUUGGAUAGAGGGUAGCCACAUAGACCGGGGUUGCCGAUGUAGGUAAAGUUCAGGUUGUCGUGAACCUGCAGCUGUUGCCCGGAUGGUAUCACACCCGAUAAGUUGUUGUAUGACAGGUUCAAGUGGCCCAGAGAGAUUAGA
Molecule: ribosomal RNA, 683 nt
Filed under: Triticum aestivum (bread wheat)
Lineage: Eukaryota; Viridiplantae; Streptophyta; Magnoliopsida; Poales; Poaceae
Description: partial small subunit ribosomal RNA
Source: RNAcentral